Long non-coding RNA from Haliotis rubra (blacklip abalone), 701 nucleotides. RefSeq lists it as uncharacterized. NCBI's taxonomy places the organism in Eukaryota, Metazoa, Mollusca, Gastropoda, Lepetellida, Haliotidae. The record is from RefSeq and is a predicted model, not a curated record. The transcript is spliced from 3 exons.
AAAUGUUUAAUGAAAAAAGGAAUUGGUUUUGAAAAUAAUGAAUACUCCUCAAGAAUAUUAACACGUGAUUGAAACAAGCAGUUUGAUUGUCUGACAAGACUGUCAACAAAAUGCCUGCUUCCCGCACGUGUUCGCUUCAAGAAAACAAUUUGUAUUUGCGAAAGGCUCAUUUCUCAUCAAAUUCACGAAAAAGGUUGGAAACAGAUAGAUCUACUGAUACUUGUUACAUCUACCCUUAGAUCUAUUGGCGUUCUGUUCUGAUUUCUGCAUCGAAGUCGACAUGUUGAUCUGGAUUUCUACUUUCUCAGUUUUCACACACACAAAUAUCUUGACGUACGUAUUGUUUCGUUGUAAAACGUGUGAUCUAAAGUCGUUAAUCGAUUAUGGUUUAGGAGGUUGAUUCCCAACAGUAAUUACACACACACACACACUUAACAUGAAUCAUGAUUGUCCUGAUUUUGACCAUGAACAUGAUCUGUACUCAGAAUUCAAUAAUCCGACAUCCUCGUUAAUCCAACAAUUUGCUGUGCAACGGACGAGGUCGGAUUAACGAGAUGUGACUGUACUAUCUGUGGGUUUUGAGAAGGUUAAAUAUAAAAAUUAAACAGAAAUUUCAAAAUGUAAACAUUACUCAAAAAGCAAACUUUGAAGCAACAAGUAAUGGAGUUGGGAAACUCUGGGUUAUUGGUUCAGCUGCACAC